Molecule: long non-coding RNA, 3994 nt
Organism: Triticum aestivum (bread wheat)
Lineage: Eukaryota; Viridiplantae; Streptophyta; Magnoliopsida; Poales; Poaceae
Exons: 6
Source: RefSeq, a predicted model, not a curated record
UUCCAUUGAGUUUUUAUUUCUUUACUGUGUUGACCGAAGUAUGAUACUAGUAGUAUUGAACAUAGAUCAACACUGAACUAUAGACAGCGCGUAAUCUAAUCCCCACAACGACAGAUAUGGAAAAAAGAUGACCGGCGAGUAGGCGACGGGCGGUGUUUCCGGCAGGCCACGAUGGGAGGGAGGGCUCCGCUGGCAUGCGCAUGCUAUCCAUCCCUUCCUUCAUUCCUCCCGCUGCUCCCGGAUGCACUCCACAGCCCACCAUCUGCUCGCCAGUGGGGCGCCUACCUCCACCGCCCCCGCCUCCCUCGUCGGCGACGCCCUGACCCGCGCUGUUCUGGAAGCAGCAUCGAUCAUCUGCUAUUCGCGGGUAUCAAGUGAAUCCCAAGCACGCCCUGACCCUCGCUCUCGUCAUCCGUCUCCUUCCAUUAAUCCUAUAUAUCUCUCUCAGUGGGGAUUUCUCAGUCACUGCACGGAAGGUGUUUGACAAAAUGACCAGAGCCGAGUCGGCUCAACCUUCAUGGCACGCAGAUUGUGCUGUGCCGAUUUGCUGGAGAAGGACACCUCGGCCUGCUACAAGAAACAGAAAGCUGCUUCCUGGAAGCACUCAACUUACUUGACGAAAUGCGCAGGAGAGGGAAACCGCGCUUGACCACAACAACGCCAUCUGCGUAACAUAACGACAGACGUCCCCACAAAUUUCAGCACAGGACAUGGGCGGUUCAGGCUCCUGAACUUCCCAUUGUUUCAUGACCAAACCAUCAAGGUUGUUGGCAGCCAUCUUAAGGUGCAUUGGGACCCCAGACCCAUUGGGCAUUUUCGAUUGGUUUUGAGUACUGCAUAGAAGUAAUUUACCACCUGACAAAAUGUCUGCAUAAAGGAGACAGGGGUAAAUGCAUGAUGUGGACUGGCCAACAUACUGAGAGUGAUUCAGAGAAAUGGGAGGAGUAAAAUGCAGUGAAGCAAUGUGUUACGCUCCUGGAUACAUAAGCUCAAUCUCAAAGGAGAGAAAGGGGGAGGGGAUUUGGGUACACUGAGAGAGAAGGAGGAAGAAAGGGGAAAGUGUAUCUCUUCUGCUAGACGCCUUUCUUCUCUUCUGUCGCUGCCCCCUUUAUCUUCCUUCCCAUCGCUUCCUUCACAGCUGUCUUGGCCCUCCAGGCCCGGUCCAACCUGCGACAACGACGCGAGGCCUUGGUCCGUCUUCCUGGGCUGGGCGUCCACAUAACACUCCCCAUCCCUUCAGGAUCGGCUUGACCCCAAGCCUCCAGAGUCGGAAACUUCUGCUGCAGCAAAAAUGCAUCUUCCCAAGUAUCAUGAUUAGCAGAACACCCUUGCCAGCGUACCUUGACCCUUGGUAUCGCAAUGCCUCCCUUCUAGACCAGGCGCGUAUGGAUGAUAGUCUCUGGUUGAAGGAGAAGGGGUGCUCGAGGUUCCACCAUGCUCAUGUCUUGAUCUGCUGUCACACUUGGGGGCACCUGUUUCUUCAACUGCGAAACAUGGAUAACAUCAUGGAUCCUGGAGUUGGCCGGGUGAUCCAGCUUGUAUGACAACUCGCCCACCUUUUGCAGCACACGAUACGGUCCAUAGAACUUGAGGGGGAGCUUUUGAUUGCGAGGGGUAGCUAGCGAGUUCUGGAGAUAUGGCUGUACCUUCAGGUGGUGCUUCAGCAUCUCCAUGGUGGCUGGUCUAUCAGUAACCAAGUCUUGCAGAUCUGUAUUGGUAGUAGGGCCGGUGAUGCCAAACAGACGCGGCUGGUAACCAUACAAUGCCUCAAAGGGGGUACACCCAGCUGCUGUAUGAUAUGAGGUGUUGUACCAAUGUUCAGCCACAGUCAACCAUUUGGACCGCUGAGUUGGUGUGUCGUGGAUUGUGCACCUGAGGAAAGCUUCAAGGCACUGAUUCAGUCGCUCCGUCUGACCGUCUAUUUCAGGAUGACGUGCCGAACUCAUGUCCAGCAGUGUAUCGGAUAGGCUAAACAGCUCCUGCCAGAAAGUGCUGGUGAAUACCGGGUCUCUAUCCGAGAUGAUGCGGGUGGGCAUAACAUGGAGAUGAUACACUUGAUCGAAGAAGACCACAGCCACUUGGUGUGCUGUAUAUGGAUGUUUAAGCGGCAGAAAAUGUGCAAACUUCGUAAGCUUGUCGAUGACGACCAAGAUCACUUCAAACCCUUGUGAUUUGGGGAGGCCUUCUACAAAGUCCGAGCUAAUUGUGUGCCAAGGUUGUGGUGGAAUGUCGUGUGGCUGCAGUAACCCUGGCUGCCUGCAGUGUUCAUGCUUUGCACGCUGACAGACAUCACACGCUUGCAAAAACUCUGUGACAGAGCGCCUCAUUUUGGGCCAUGCAAACAAUUUCUUGACUCGCGGGUAUGUUGCAAGCACUCCAGAAUGACCCCCAAGAGCACUGGUGUGAAGAGAUUGCAGUAUGUGUUGUUGGGCUAGGGAAUUGUGACCCACCCAGAUGCGCCCUUUAUAACGAAUCAUGCCAUUUUCCAAUGUAUAACCCUUAUCAUGUGUGCCUGACAGUGACAAUUCUGUCCAGAUUUGCUUAGUCAUUGCGUCAUCCUCGUAACCUGCAACCACAUUUUCCAUCCAUGUCGGCACUGCAGAAGAUAUGUCCAGCAGAGACUGAUUGUCCUCCCUCCUCGAGAGGGCAUCGGCUGCUACAUUGGUGAUGCCUCGCUUGUACUGUAUGGUGUAGCAGGGCCUGCUGGUCAGUGCGAAUGAUGAAAGGCUGGUGCUGCAAGUAAGGCCUCCAUUUGUCCACGGCCAUGAGAAUGGCUAAACACUCUUUUUCAUACGUGCUGAGGUCUUGGUUCUUAGGACAGAGACAUUUACUCAGAUAAGCCACCGGGUGACCUUGCUGCAUAAGAACAGCCCCGAUCCCAUCUUUACAAGCGUCUGUCUCCAGUACAAACUGCUGAUGAAAGUUAGGGACAGCCAAAACCGGCGCUUCAAUCAUUGUUUGCUUCAACAGCCGGAAGGCCAUGUCUGCUGUUGGGGUCCACUAGAAGAUGACCCCUUUCUUCAGUAAUUCUGUCAGAGGUCGACUAAUAAUACCAUAGUUCUGGAUGAACUUGCGGUAAUAUCCAGUGAGCCCAAGAAAUCCAUGGAGCGCACGAACAGAUGUAGGAGCAGGCCAUGUCUGGACUGCUUCCACUUUCGUAGGAUCUGUAGCCACUCCGUCUGCGCUGAUCACAUGACCCAGGUAUUCAAUUGGCGGAUGUUCAGACUUUGGUACUGUCGGUUUUUAAUAAAGUGGCCGCAUGCAUCUUUCCGAUGCAGAGGCCGGGGGAUGGCCUCCUUUUCAAAAAAAUCAAUUGACAGCUGGGCAAAAGCACACUUGGAGCGCUUGACCACUAGGGAAUUUUCUCGGAGCGUUUGCAAAACGGCGCGCAGGAGGCGGACAUGCUCAGAUAGGGUAGCACUGUGCACCAAGAUGUCAUCCAUAAAGACCAGUACUCCAUGUCUCAAUAAAGGGUCAAAAAUAAAGUUCAUCAUGCCUUGGAACAUCCCUGGUUCCCGUGAGAGUCCACAGGGCAUAACCAGAAACUCGUAGAGCCCUUGGUGGGUGCGAAAUGUUGUCUUGAACUCCUCACCAUCUGCCACUCUGAUUUGAUGGUACCCGGAUAACAAAUCAAGCUUUGUGAACCACUUGGCCCCAGAAAGUUCAUCUAACAACUCAUCCACAAUGGGCAUCGGGUGCUUGUUCUUAAUAGUGACGGCAUUGAGCUGUCGAUAAUCAACACAAAAUUGCCAAGACCUGUCUUUCUUGCGCACCAACAUCACGGGAGACGCAAAGGGAUUGGUACUGGGACGAAUGAUCCCCAUGCAUAGCAUCUCUCUAAUCUGUCGUUGGAUCUCGUCUUUUUGUUGAGGUGUAUAGCGAUGCGGCCGAGCACUGACAGGUUGGGCCCCUAGUAUGAGGGGGAUGGUAUGGUCCUCCGGACGACGUGGUGGUAACUUCGUUGGAGGUUGAAAACGAUCAUCAAAUUCAUGCA